This 60-nucleotide transfer RNA is filed under the name Charinus carajas. RNAcentral describes it as "tRNA-Thr". The record is from RNAcentral. Lineage: Eukaryota; Metazoa; Arthropoda; Arachnida; Amblypygi; Charinidae.
GUUUUAAUAGUUUAAACAAAAUUCUGAUCUUGUAAAUCAGAGAUGACCUCUCUUAAAACU